This 26627-nucleotide long non-coding RNA is filed under the name Solanum tuberosum (potato). Its description in RNAcentral is "long non-coding RNA (STUB_LNC009495)". The record is from RNAcentral. Lineage: Eukaryota; Viridiplantae; Streptophyta; Magnoliopsida; Solanales; Solanaceae.
CUUUCCUUUCCUUUUUAGUGGUUAUUGUUUUCUCUUUUAGAAAAACGAUAAUAACUAUAACUAAUAUUUUACGAUGUAUUUAAUAUGUAAAAAAUUACAAUUUAUUAUAUUUUUAUAUAAUUUUUAAUAUAUAUUGAUCACGUCAACGGUCAACGAAUCAAAGGCAGCAACAUAAAAAUAAAAAGUUUACAUGCCGACAACUACCAAACAUUGUUUCUCUUUGAUUUUUGAAGUUGCUAGAUGUUUCUUUCUUAAAAAAUAAAUAAAUAAUAAUUAUAUAAUAAACAUUCAAUUCAAAAAUAACAUCCUCCUCCACCUAAUGUUUAAUAUUUUAUAAAGUUUAUUAAAUUAAUUUGAAUUUAUAUCGCGUAAAGUAAUUUGCGAAAAACACUUUUUAAUAUAAUUUUAUAUAUAUAUAUUAAAUUCAAAUUUGAACUUCUAAAAAUAAGAAAAUUCUAUUUAUUCAAUUACAAUUUUUAUUGGUAAAUCACGAAGGUAAGGUGGUUGGCAAGGUAUAUAAUUGAACUUCUUGCCAAAUUAGUUUUUUUGUUAUGUAUAAAUGACAGAAUUUACCUUCUACAAUCAACUAUGAGAGCGAUCCGACCUCUAGCCCUUCAAUGAUGGAUUUGUCUUCAAAAACCCCGACCUCAGUCGAAAAGCCUGUUUUCUUUGAUCCAAGCCUGGUGAAAAAAAAGCAUAAGAUUUUACGUCAAAAUUUCAAAACAUAUAUGUGACAUUUUUAAUAUUAAUUGGAAUCCUUAAAUAUUUAAGAGAACCCAUGAAAUUGGUGGAAUCCUGAUCAUUAAAAAAAUUACUCCAUAGUAUAUGCUUCGAUUACUGUAAACUCCAUUAAUGGAGGUUGAGCUUUUAGCUCAUUUGCAGAGAAGAAGAGAGAAGAGAAGUAUUGUAUUGAUUUAGAAACUGAAAAACUAAUUCAUUGAAUCUGUACAGCUUUUGGUUUAUGUACAAGUUUAUUACUCAUAGAGUACAAAAUAUCUUCUAACAACUUGUAACUAACUAAUGCCACCUAAGCAUCUAGUAGACUAACUAACUUUAGUAGUUGGAUAAUCCUAACCAUACAGCUUGUUAACUCUUCACCAUAGUUAACACUCCCCCUCAAGCUUAUGGUUGGAAAACAUUUUUCAUUCCAAGUUUGCUCAAUAGCAGUUCAUGUUGUGCCUUCCCCAAACUCUUAGCAAGUAAGUCAGCUAGUUGAAGUUUAGUGUUUAUAUACUCUGUCUUCAACAUUCCUUGACAGAUCUUCUCCCUCACAAAGUGACAAUCAAUGUCUAUGUGCUUUGUUCUCUCAUGAAAGAUGGGAUUAGCAGCAAUUUGUAUUGCUGCCUUGCUAUCACAUAUCAUGUUUACAGGAAGAUUCACAUUAACUCCAAGCUCUUUGUACAAGCCUAUAAUCCAUGUAACCUCAGCUGCACAGGUAGCCAUACUUCUGAAUUCUGCCUCUGCUGAGCUCCUUGAUACAGUCCCUUGUUUCUUGGACUUCCAUGAAAUCAAGCCCCCUCCAAACUUUACUAGAUAUUCUGUUACAGAUUUUCUAGUCUCCAGACAUGCUCCCCAAUCAGAAUCACAGUAUGCUGUGAGUUGUGUAGUUGGUUCAGCUGGCAUCAAAAGUCCUAGACCUGGAGCUUCCUUGAUGUACCUUACAACCCUCAGUGCUGCAUUCAUAUGUGACUCCUUAGGACAGUGCAUGAACUGACUUAACACUUGUGCAGCAAAGGCAAGAUCUGGCCUUGUCAUGGUUAGGUAGAGUAGUCUACCCACCAAUCUUUGAUACUUUGUAGGAUCUGAGAGCAAGUUGUCAUGUUCAGGAUUUGUGGUUGGAACCUGUUCAUCAUAAUGAAGGGAUGUGCGACUCUUGUUCAAUUCCAAUGGUGUGUGUGCAGGCUUGGCACCACCUAGUCCAGACUCAGAAACAAGUUCUAAAGCAUACUUCCUUUGUGUCAUUAAUAUCCCUUUGUUGGACCUAGAGAACUCAAUUCCCAGGAAGAAUUUCAGUUCCCCCAGAUCUUUCAUUUUAAACUUCUUCUGAAUAUCUUGUCUAGUGUUGCAUAUAAGUUGAUGAUUGCUUCCAGUGACUAGAAUAUCAUCCAUAUACACUAACACUACCACAAUUUCACUACCAAAUUGCCUUGUGAACAGUGAAUAGUCAUAGUGACUUUGGUUGAAUCCCAUCUGUACCAGUGCCUCAGUCAACUUCACAUUCCAUUGUCUAGGUGCCUGCUUUAGUCCAUACAAAGACUUGUGCAGUUUGCAGAUUUUAUGAGACUCCCCCUGUCGUGCAAACCCAUUAGGAAUUUCCAUAUAAACAUCUUCAAGCAAAUCACCAUUUAAGAAGGCAUUAUAGACAUCCAUCUGAUAAAUGUACCAGCCCUUAGAUGCAGCAAGAGCUACCACAGACCUCACUGUUACCAUCUUUGCAACUGGACUGAAAGUUUCCCCAUAGUCAAAACCUUCUUUCUGACUGAACCCUUUUGCAACUAACCUGGCCUUUAGUCUUUCAACUUGGCCUGAUGCUAAGAACUUGAUUUUAUAUAUCCACUUACAGCCAAUGAAAGAGGAUUGCCCAAGCCUUAUAAGGAGUCCACCCAACUCCAUUAAUAGAGGUUGAGCUUUUAGCUCAUUUGCAGAGAAGAAGAGAGAAGAGAAGUAUUGUAUUGAUUUAGAAACUGAAAAACUAAUUCAUUGAAUCUGUACAGCUUUUGGUUUAUGUACAAGUCUGUUACUCAGAGAGUACAAAAUAUCUUCUAACAACUUGUAACUAACUAAUGCCACCUAAGCAUCUAGUAGACUAACUAACUUUAGUAGUUGGAUAAUCCUAACCAUACAGCUUGUUAACUCUUCACCAUAGUUAACAAUUACAUAUAAAUGGUAGUAAUUUUUUAUAUUAAAAGAUUCGUUUAGUAUUACAACAAAAUGAGUCAAAAGAUUAUUUUACAUCAAAAGUUCAAAUCAUAAGUAUGAUAUUUUUAGUAUUCUUUAAUAUCUAAUAAUUCUAGUAUCUUAUUUAUUCUUUUAACUUAUUUUCCAUUUUAGUUAUUCAAUCUAUAAUUCAUGCAUUUUUUAUAUUAUUUUGAAUUCUUUAAUAUCUAAUAAUUCUAGUAUAUAUCUUAUUUAUUCUUUUAACUUAUUUUCCUUUUUAGUCAAUUAACUCUACAAAUUCAUACAAGAGUAUAUUCCUCAUUUUGUAUCCAAAUAAUUUUUUUAAUAAGAAACCACGUCAUAAUAACAUCAGCAUGAAAUCAUCAAAUAAAAAAAAUUAAGUAGGCCCCACUUGAAACUUCUAUUCAACACACGAAAAUAAUAUGUAAUAUAUUUCGUCAUCAAUAUUCAAUGAAUAUGAAUCCUCAAGACGAAAUUGCCUAUAAAUAGCCGCAUUAGCACAAUCAAUAGAAAACACAACAAACAAAAAAUAAAUUUAGUUGAAACAAACAUUAAAAACAUCAAAAUGUCUAUGUCCUCUAGACCAAGAUUGGUUGUUAAGAAAGUUUUGGCUAGAGCUCAAAAUGAAGGUGAUGGUGCUAUUGUUAGAAGAAGCAUUGGAAGGUAAUUAUUUUUCUACACUUUUUUCCUUUUUCUUGAUUUUUUUUGUUGUUGUUAUGAUAAUCGAGAAAUCUCUGACAACCAUAGACAUGUAGUAUAGAAGUAUUCGUGAAUAAUAAUCGAGUUGUUUUUACUCUUUUCCAAUUAAAUAUCAUACUUUUGUCAGCAAUACGAAUCGAAUACUGAUUGUUUUUUUUUUAUAUUUGUUAUGAAUUUUGGAAUUUGAUCAGGCCUGAAUUGCAGAAUCUUGAUCCAUUCCUCAUGUUAGAUGAGUUUAAUGGUAAUUUUUUCUUUUAUUUUAUUCUUUUAGUAUAUUAUUUUGUGAAUUUUAUUUUGAUUUUGACUAAUUAGAAAGCUAUGUUAUUUUUGGCUUCUUGCAGUUUCACCACCUGCUGGAUUUCCUGACCAUCCACACAGAGGUUUUGAGACUGUCACUUACAUGUUGCAGGUAAAAAUUCAUUUUAUUUUCCUUUUUUUGUGGAAAGUUUAAUUUUUGUACACUGACAAAAAAGAUUGAUAUAUACUAUCAGGUGUCGGCAAUGUAUAUAAGUUAAACUCUGUGUUGGUGUAUGGAUUAUGGAGAUUGGAAAUUCUAAUGUUAUUUUGUGGUGUUUAAUUUUAGGGAGCUUUUACUCAUCAAGAUUUUGCUGGUCACAAGGGCACAAUCAGGACUGGUGAUGUGCAGGUAAUAAGUUUGCUCACAACACCACCAUAUUAAGUAUUUAAGUUACGUACACUGACAAUGUAAAGAUUCUUAAUAGUAAAAUCAGUGUUAUAUAACAUGUGAUAGAUUGUUAGCUACUAAUUUUACUAAUGUAACCAAUUAACAUUUACCAUCAAAAUUUGUGAUGGUAGAAUAGUAAGUUUUCCUUCGUCCUUAAUUAGAGGUCUCGAGUUCAACUCUCGUGAAUGUAGUCACAUUUGAAAAGGAGUGUGUACUGGAUAUCGAAUUUAUGAAAUUUAAGUGUGUUUAUGAUUUUCCAUUUGGUUUAAUGCAGUGGAUGACAGCAGGAAGAGGUAUAGUUCAUUCAGAAAUGCCUGUUGGACCAGGUACUCAUAAGGGGUUGCAACUUUGGAUAAAUCUAUCUUCCAAGAACAAAAUGUAAGUUACAUUGAUUCAAUCUUGACUUUGGCUUAAAUACAUUUAGUGUUUCAACAAUCUAGUAUUUCAUUUUAACAUAUUCCUGUAAAACAUGUACUUUGAUCAAAAUUCAUUAGACUUUUGCAGAAAUUUAGGCGUUUAAGAUCUAAUAUAUAUGUAUAAAAAGUAUGGUUUGACCUAUAUGUAUAUGCGUCAGACAAAGAGUGUUCAACUAACCAGCCUUCACUGUGUGUGGUUAUGCCAUGAUUUAGACACAACAACUCAUGAUCCUUAUCUUGUUACUUGUUGUCUACUUCACGAGCCUUCAUUGCCCCGUUUUUGUAACUUCCCUCCUUUUGUCCGUCCAUGAUACAGGAUUGAGCCAAGGUAUCAAGAAUUGCUACACCAAGACAUACCAAAAGUGGAAAAAGAUGGCGUUUCGGUUACUAUUUUAGCAGGGGAAUCCAUGGGCAUAAAAUCCCAAGUUUUCACACGAACGCCUACAAUGUACCUUGAUUUCACCCUAAAACCAGGUUCUGAGCAUCACCAACGGAUCCCUGAGACCUGGAAUGCCUUCAUCUACAUAGUUGAAGGAGAAGGGGCGUUUGGUUCUUCGGAUUCAACUACUACACCAGCUCACCAUUGCUUGGUUUUAGGCCCUGGUGAAGGCCUAAGUGUGUGGAACAAAUCUUCAAAACCAUUGAGAUUUGUUCUGAUAGGAGGGCAACCGAUUAACGAGCCUGUCGUGCAGUAUGGUCCAUUUGUUAUGAACACUAAGAGUGAGAUUAUGCAGGCUUAUCAAGAUUAUCAACUUGGAAAGAAUGGAUUUGAAAGGUCAAGGCAAUGGUGUUCUAAAUGAGUAAACAGAGUUACAUCUUAUAUGCUUCAUCAAAAUUAGCCUAUAAACUAGUACAAUAUUCAUUAGUUUUCUUAUAAAUGUUAUGAUUUCAAGUUGUUUUAGUCUUUGUUUUCAUUUGAAAUGUGAUGUGUGUUGAGUGAAGUUUAUUAUUAGUAUUCAUUUCCUUCAUUUGUUCAAGAUUGUAUUGGUUGUAAUUUAUGUUGACUUCUUGAAUUAUAAUAUCUUGUCUCUUUAGUUUGGAUCAACAUAAGUUCUCUUAAUAGUCCUUUUUUUUUCCUUUCAACAAAUGUAGUGUGUUGGAUGAAGUGGUAUUUAAAUCCUUUAUUUCUUCAAGAUUGAUGGUAAUUCUUGUAGCCAUAGUGAAAAAAUAUAUUCACUUCUUGAACAAUAUCUUAUUUUUUUGUUUGGAUCAUUCAUUGAAAAUGUAAUGACAAUAUUAUCAUAUUAUAGGGAGUGGAUGUCCAUGAAAAACAUGGUCCAAUGUGAUUUUUUACAAUUAUUUCUCAAUUAUUGGGUCAAUGUGGUCCUCCAUGAGUUUUAACCAUAACCACUCAAGAACUAAUUUCAUGCACUUUAUAUUAACUUGAAAUUUUUUAUAAAGAGAAAUUGAUGUUCAAAUUCACAUAAGAAUUAAACAAUUUACCGUUUAAAUAUCCAAGAAAAGCAGGAUGGUGUGUACUUUUACCAUUAGUCUUGCAAAAAUAUUCUGCUUAAGACAAUAGAACAAAUUGACUAUUAUUAUUCCAUUUAUAAUCUUUAUAAAAUCAUCCUAGAAAAGGAAAAUUAAUAAAAUCCAGCAACACCACUUCUUAACAAAAUUAUCUGUACCUAUCUUUGCCAGCUUUGCCAUCACUUCUUGUACAACACCCCACCCCCACCCCACUGGCUAUUCGAAGUUAAGUCUUUCUCACAUCAUAUGGAGUCUUUUUCUAUGCAUAUGUGAGAAACUUUUAUUGUUCCCCCUAAAAAAAGAAAUAGCCAAUACUAACAAUUUUGGUCUCUCAAUUAUUGAUAUAUUCGAAUUUUAAUUUUUGAGAGUGAUAAUAUAUAAUUUAACUUGUAAUUACUUGAAACAUGCCAUUUUUUAUUAUACUAAGCUUGUGGUGUAACUUUGCUAACGUUUAGCCAUAAAUUGAAAGAAAAAAAAAAGAACUUUUGAAGUUAUGUUGAAAAAUAGUACUAUUUGAAAUGUAAAGAUAUGUUUAGAUAUGUAUUUUGUAAAUAAAAGUGAAUACUCCUAAAAUUUAUAGUCAAAACGAAAUUUUUUUAAUUUGUGAGUACAUAAUGUACUUCUAAAAAUAGCUCAAAUUUAACAUAUUUCUUACCUAAAAAACUAUAAACACAUAAUUUAAUAUAUUGAAUAAUUUAAAUAUGUUAAAUCAUAUAUAUCACAAGGAUUACAUCAAUAAAAAGAAGGAAAAAGGCAAAAGGUUAUCAUAAAAAGUUAAAUUUUUUUUAAUAAAAAAAACUAUUAGACUCCAAGUCUCCAACCGCCUGUUUUCUUUUCAAACAAAGGUUAUAAUAUAUAAUUAUUAUAUAUUCCUUUUUAUUUACCCAAAAAAAGAACACCCACUUAUGAUUUUAUUUUAUUAAAAAAAAACAAUAAAAAACAAAAUAACAAAAAAAUAAAAAUCCAGCAAGACCACUUCUUUCAAAUUCUCUGUAUAAUCUUUGCCAGCUCUGCCACCAUUACUUCUUUGCACAAAACCCCAACACCCCAUUCCCCCUCUCUCUCUAGAUCACCAUUUUCCAAUUCUUUCUCUCUCUAAACCUCAAAAAGUUUCAAUUUUUCACCAAAUGGACUCUUCAGAUGAUGAGGGUGAGGAGUAUCUUUUCAAGAUUGUAAUCAUUGGUGAUUCUGCAGUAGGUAAAUCUAAUUUGCUUACACGUUAUGCAAGAAAUGAGUUUAAUUUGCAUUCAAAAGCAACUAUUGGAGUUGAGUUUCAGACCCAAACUCUUGAAAUUGAUGGAAAAGAAGUUAAAGCUCAGAUUUGGGAUACUGCUGGACAAGAAAGGUUUAGAGCUGUGACUUCUGCUUAUUAUCGUGGUGCUUUUGGUGCUCUUGUUGUUUAUGAUAUUUCAAGAAGGACAACUUUUGAUAGCAUCCCUCGUUGGCUUGAUGAACUCAAAAGUAUGUAUCUUUUUUGCUAAAAGUUCCAUUUUUAAUAAGUUGGUUUUGGUUUAUGUUGAAUUCUUAUUUGUGCAUUGAAAGUUCUCACCUUUUUUGGUGGAUUGGCUCAAGCUUAGUCUUUUGAGAUUUGAUGAUGUUAUGAUGGAAUGGUAAUUCUUAGAUUUGAAUUCUACGUUCUUGUUUAUGUUGCUAAAAAAAAUUCUUUUGUUUAGCUUGGUUUUGGUUUAUGUUGAAUUCCCAUCCAAGUUUUAUGCAUUGUCUUUGGUUUGUGUAUAGAAAAUUCUCACCUUUUUGGUGGAUUGGCUGUAAAGUUUAGUUUUUUUUAGAUUUGAUGGUGUUAGGAUAGAAUGGUGAUUCUUUGAUUUGACUUCUACAUUCCUGUUUAUGUUGCUAGUAGUCUUUUCUUUGUUUAGCUUGGUUUAUGUUGAAUUCCCAUCAAAGUUUUAUGCAUAUCUUUUGCUUUGUGCAAGAAAAAGUUUUCACCUUUUUGAAAUAUAGUGAGGUUUUGGUGGAUUGGCUAUAAAGUUUAGUUCUUGAGAUUUUGAUUGUGCUAUGAUAUAAUGGUAAUUCUUAGAUUUGGCAUCUGUUGCUAAAAUUCUUCUCUUUUUCCAGACUUGGUUUUGGUUUAUGUUGAAUUGUCAUCUAAGCUUUAUGCAUUAUCUUUUCUUUGUGCACAGAAAGUUCUCACCUUUUUGGUGGAUUGGCUGUAAAGUCUAGUUUUUUGAGAAUUGACAGUGUUAUGAUAGAAUGGUAGUUCUUUAGAUUUGACUUCUACAUUAUUCAUUUUGUUUAUAAUUAGUUAUUGGAUAAAUUGACAAGUGAGUCGAGAUCUGAUUGUUGUAUUCGUAUGUCUCUGUUGCUACAAAAAAUUUUAAACUUGGUUUUGGUUCAUGUUGAAUUCCCACUUUUCAACUUGGUUUUGGCAUAUGUUGAGUUCCCAUCAAAGUUUUAUACACAUCUUUUCUUUUUUUCAUAUAAGGUUCUCACCUUUUUGAGAUAUAUUGAGGUUGGUAGUAUAAAGUUCAGUUUUUGAGAUUUGAUGGUGUUAUGAUAUGAUGGCGAUUCUGGGAUUUGACUUCCACAUUCUUGGCUCUUGAUUAUAACUUAUAAGUAUGUAAGAUAUCUUGUAGAUCCGAAAAGUCUUGGCUACUUUAACUAUUUAGGAUGAUGGAAUAAGCCAUAAGGGUAAUUUUAAUCGAGUUUUUCCAGAAUUGAAUAAUGGAUGUGUUGAAUCUUGUCCUUUGCUUUUUUUCUUCUUCUGUGGAUUUGGUUCCUAUCACUUUUCUCUUUGACUGAAUAAAGUAAGAUUUUACAGUUGCUAUCAAGUCUAAUUCAAUCUUUUUAGUGAAAAAUUACUUACCAGGUAUAGAAACAAAUGGUAAUGUCAGCUAGAAAAACGUUGAGUCUUGAUUUUGGAUCAUUGUUAUUUGUUACUUGAAGCAAUGGCAAAGAAAGCGGUAUAUAUGCCAAUGUAGCUGUUAUGCUCAAUUUUGUCUAGAUGCAGUUGGGAACCUUUGAUAAGAACGAAUUAGACAGACUGUCAAUUGGAUGUAUAUUAGGAAUUGGAACUCAAGUCAUGCUUUUCUUUCUCCGAAAUGCCAAUCUAAAUGAACUUGUCAACAGAUCAUACUUAUAUGGAAUCUGUUUGUUUUUUUUUGAUCUGUUUUAUUUGCUUGAUUGUGAAAAUAAUUAGGACCAACAGCCUGGCUUACCUACGUAUGGCAUUAUGGUAGACUAAGGAGUCUCGGGGAUUGAUAAAAAAUCCAGAGAUUCUUUUGAUGUUAAAUGGUGCCAUAUUUAUAACUUAGGUAGUCUCUCUAUUAAGCCCUUAGCUAACUAACUUUUGGCUGGACGGGAGUGUAUAUGUGUUGCUUUGAGCCGUGAGCUGCUAUGUGAUACUUGCACGACCUUAUUUUGUUAUUCAAAUCUGUUCUUGUCUUGCAAAUAUCAUUUGAAUCUUGAAAAUGAAUGACUUUGUGCUCACUGUUUCCAAAAUUGAAAACUUUUAGAACUUAAUGUCCAUAAAAUAGAGGAGUAUUAACUCUUGAUCUAUCAAAAUGAGUGGGCCAGAUACAAGGCCGUUUGCCCAAGUACAAGAUUUUAGCUUGAGCCCUGACAUGGUCCAAGAUCCCUAUCUUUAAGGCCAUUAAAGAACCCAGGGCCAGGGAAAUGCGAUAAAUAGAAUGUUAACAUUUGCAGCAUAUAUAACCACAAAUGAGGUUUGUACUCCACAAGCUUCAUUUAAUCACGGGAUGAAAUGAGCAGAGGAUUAUGCCAUCAAAAUCGAAGUCAGUGUUAAUAAGGUGUAGCAUUUUUCUUCCACAUGUGAAGGAGACAAUGACGUAGCUGAUAACAACUUAAGAAAAUUCAGAUACAUACUUUUGAAGGAAAUAUAGGUAGUAAUAUUAAGUUUUACAGACUCUUUAUAUGUGCAGGGGCUGUACUUAAACUUUGCAUUCACGAGCUUAUUUAUUCACAUUUUGUCUUGGAAUGAUACUUUCUGCUGUCGGGAAUCCCAACUUUUAUUUAUACAGUUAUAUAUUAGGUGUGCAAAUUACAUGUUACGGUGGUGUUCUAUAUGUUCCUCAUACUCCCAAUUGUUCUAUAACUGAAACAACCAUUUACAUGCAGCUCAUUCUGAUACAACGGUUGCAAGGAUGCUCGUGGGAAACAAAUGUGACUUGGAGAACAUAAGAGCUGUGAGCAUAGAAGAAGGCAAAAGCCUGGCAGAAUCAGAAGGGAUGUUCUUCAUGGAGACAUCUGCCCUCGAUUCAACAAACGUAAACAAGGCUUUCGAGAUUGUGAUUCGAGAGAUCUAUAAUAGUGUUAGCAGAAAGGUUUUGAAUUCCGAUUCUUAUAAAGCAGAAUUAUCUGUCAACAGAGUCAACCUGGUCAACGAUGGUACCGAUGGAUCGAAACAAAAGCAGGGCUACUCUUGUUGUUCUAGGUGAUUAAUGUUAUGUUUUCUUGAUUCCCCUCAAGUUUUACAAGAAUGGUUCAUUAAAUUAUUUUUGUUGGUCUUACUGUUUAUUGAUUUGUUAAUGGAUGGAGUACUUUUGUAAUGGUCAGGAACUUGAUAUUUAUAUUCUAUAUGGCAGCUGAAAUGAAUAAUGUUUAUUUUCCCCAAUGCAAAUCUGUAUUCUGUGUUUUGCUUUAUGUACUUGUCAUUCUUGAUUGUUCAAUUGUAAAUACUAUUUCAUAUUCAAUCAGUGUUUUCGAAUUUGAGUAUAUGGAAUCACCAUUGUUAGGAAGCGGUUCGCUCCCAGUAUGACACUGUUCGAUGAUUUAGUCGGACUUUAAUACACAAGUCGUAGUCUCAGCUUUUUUUCUCCUUCGAUAGAGUUGGAUUGGAAGAGUCAGCCUGCGGGGUAAGCCUUUUCAUGUGUGCGCAUUAUUGUUGAUUAGUCUGUUUUUUCUGGAGUUUUUCGUUUUGAGGGGGAAAUGAAAAAAGGUAAAUAAAGACCUUAGCCGAUUCUUGCUUGACUUCUGGGCUCACCCGAGGCGAGGACUCUUUCUUUCUUGCACAACCGCCCCAGGAAAGUAAUUAUCAUUAAGAGGGAGAACUUUGAUAUCUAACUACGUAGGGUGAGUAAUAAAAACAAUUUGUUUGUUUUUUGGGAGAGCUGAUUGUAACAUGCAUUACUGAUGCAAAUUCCAGAAGAACAAGACAGCAUAGUCUGUCAAGGUCAGCUUUUACCAACAAACUGUGCAUAUCAACAUCUUCUAGAAACUGAGCAAACAUCCUUUUCUCACCAAAUUAUGUAAAAUGAUUCCUUUCAUCCUCACCAACACUCUUAGUUCUAGCAACAUUAUGAGAGAUUCCCAUAUUUCAAACUUGUCAAUAAAAAAGUUAUUCCAAACAAGACACUCCCCACCAACACUCUUGCUCUAGAACAUUAUGUGAUAUUUUUUUGUAUUUCAAACUUGCCAAGAAAAACAUUUACUUCAAACAUAAAAUCAAAACUUGUUGUAAUCAAGCAGUAACUAUUCCGAUAAUCUUAAUCAGAGGUCUCAGGUUCAAUCUCAGCAUAUGAAGUCUUAUUCAAUAGUGAAUGCUUCCGGCAUGACUUCGAAUUACUCAAACUCCAAAACAAAUAUCGAACGCCUAGGAAACAAGAAAAGAAAGAGAGAAACCAACUUACAACAAAGGAUCUUACCUCACCACCACCACUAUAUCAAUAUCCAAGAAGAUAUUAUCAUAGAUUCAGAAUCAAUAUUCACUAUAAGAAAAAGAAAUAACAAUCAACUUUUUGAUCAUGACCUAUCAACAUUGAAGGGAGAAUAGCAUUUUUAAUCCUUCAAUAAUUGAUAAAUAAUAUUUUUUAUUCUUGUGAUAUAGAAUGACUCAACAUAUUUAAUCUUCAAUUAAUUAGAAUGUGUGUGUUUUUAUACAAGUUUAACUUAACAUAUGGUUAAUAAGUGUUGAAAUUUUGUGAGUAUUCAUAAGCAAAGUGAUCAAACGUGCACGUUUCAAGUAAUUGUAUGGUAAAUGUCAGUGAGAUAUCACAAGGAAGAAAACUGGAAUUUUUUGAUAAUCAAGGGACCAAAUAUGCUAUUAAACCCCACACUGAAAAUAAGAAUAAAUAACAAUAACCUAAACAAUUUUCAAAUGAUAAAUAAGAUAAAGUUGACCAUUAUUUCUUUACUAGGGAUAUAUUUAUGAAAAGAAAAAAAGAAACAUAAAAAAGGUGCAUUUUGAGGCUAAUAGUCUAUGUUGCUCGUACUCUCCUAAAAUGUUGCCACACCAACGUGGAAUCCUCCAAAAAAUACACUACUUUUGAAGGAUCCAGCACACACACCUAUCUGCAUUUUUAAAGAUUCCGACCAACAUAGCUUGUAUUAUUGUUUCAGCUCCAUUUCUUCAGUGCCCUGACCUCCAGUAUCUAGCAUUCUCAAAACCAUUCUUGCAAUAUUGAUAAUCCUCAAAUGUUUGAUCAAUUUCAUCUUGUGAGUUCAUCACAAAUGGACCAUGUUGAACCACAGGUUCAUUAAGAGGUUGUCCACCUAAAAGAACAAAUCUUAAUGGCUUUGAAGACUUGUUCCAUACACUAAGUCCCUCUCCAGGGCCUAAAACCAAACAAUGGUGAGCUGAUACAGGACCUGAAUUCGGAAUUCCGAAGACUCCUUCUCCUUCAACUAUAUACACAAACGCAUUCCAAGACUCGGGGGUGGCUUGAUGAUAGUAAGCUGUUGGUUGUAGGGUGAAAUCGAGGUACAUUGUAGGCGUUCGUGUGUAAACCGGGGAUUGGACACCCAUCGCUUCACCUGCUAUAACUUUUACUUCAACACCAUUGUUCUCUGCUCUUGGAAUGUCUUCUUUCAGCAGUUCUUGAUACCUUGGCUCAAUCCUGCAGUUGAACUUUGAACUUAAUAAGAAUUGAAAAAGGAAAAGCAAUCCAAUAUCAAACGUGUGUUCGCCACAAAGUCUUCGUUUUGGGCUAUAAACUUGAACAUGGGAAAAUAUUGGUUCAAACUAAAUCUUGAUUUCUAGAAUAUCACAUCAUAAAAUGUCCAAAAUUUUGAGAACUUAGUCAAAAGUGAAUGAUUAAGCUUCGCAAAACACAGCAGAAACAGAGGUGAUUUUUAUACUGCAUAUUAGUACACUCCUAACACCCCCCCUGCCGCACAAAAAAAGUAGAUAAGAGCUAACAUUAUUUUUUUACUACUAUAUGCUAGAGCCAAGUACAAUAAAGUGGUGGUGUGUAAAGUAUCUAUAUGGGGUCAGGUCAAAAGUUGUGUUGCUCGUACUCUCUAAAAAUGUCAACGGGUGCGUGUCAGAUUCUCCAAAUAAUCGUGCAUUUAUGGAGAAUCUGAAACGAGUGUGCCAGCAUUUUCAAAGAGUACGAGCAACAUAGGUCAAAAGGAGUGAUAAGACUGAAAGCUUCUAAUGAUGUAAAUAACUAUAACUUACAUUUUGUCCUUAGAAGAAAGAUUUAUCCAAAGUUGCAACCCCUUUUGACUGCCUUCUCCUGCAGGCAUUUCUGAGUGAAUUAUACCUCUUCCUGCUGUCAUCCACUACAAUAUCAUCCAAAAUAAGAAACAUAUAUCAGCAAACAAAAUAUCUCUUCUGUUCUUGUAAGCUAUGCUGCUCCGAUUCUUCAAAAAUACUGUUGAAUGUGUGUUGGAUAUUCCAAAAGUUGUGCAUUUUUGGAGGAUCCGAGCAACAUAGCUUGUAAGUAAAAAUGCUAAGAGCUGAAUAUUCUAUACCUGCACAUCACCAGUAUUAAUUGUGCCCUUGUGACCAGCAAAAUCUUGAUGAGUAAAAGCUCCCUAAGGAAAUGAAAACACAACAUUAGCAUUAUCACGUCUUCUGUGCCCUUUUCACUUUUGAAACCAUGAGUUAAGAAUUUGAUGUGCGUUUAUUUAUGUUUUGUGUCAAAAAUAUUGGCUCAAGUGAACACUACAUCCGCCUCUGUACGGAUUCAACAAGGCAUGCCAUUUGGCGCUUUGCUGCUUAUUCUAUGCUGGAUGGUUCGGAUACCAAGACAACGGAGCCAUCAUUAUGGGAUGGUUAAGAGCAUCCAACGGGUGUUUGGUCAUGGCACACGGCCACACACACACACACGGCCUCAGGGGACAAGAAAAGGCCUUUCAUAUUCCACCUUCGUCGGCCCUUUCCCUUACUAUUAUAUUGUAUUGAAUUAUGCAACAUAAUUUUUUUUUUACCUGUAGCAUGUAAGUUACUGUCUCAAAACCUCUGUGUGGAUGAUCAGGAAAACCAGCAGGAGCAGAAACUGAAACAAUAAAACAGUACUAUAUCAACUUCACUUGGCUCAAAAAAAAAAACUAAGUAAAAAUCAACAACAUAUUCCAGUUAGACGUUCAAAACUUAAGUUGCUCGGACUCUUCAAAAAUACCGUCAUGUGAGUCUCGGAUCCUCCAAAAGCUAUGCAAUUUUGGAGAAUCCGACACACUUGCAACAACAUUUUUGGAGGGUCCAAGCAACAUUACUCAAAACAGUACCUGAAAAUUCAUCCAACAUGAGGAAAGGAUCAAGAUUCCUCAAUUCAUGCCUGCAAGAUCAAAUUUUUAAAACAAUUCAAUUAGCAACAAGAUUAAAGAAAAAAUCAUAAAGACAGAUACUUUUUUUUCUCUAUGAUAAUUGUGGUAUCUUGGCAGCUUUCCUGCACCUCAACUAAUUACACGGGAUACCUAUCAACUCCCACCAAUAACAGGUACUAGGUAACUCUAUUCAUCCGGACUUGACAAAUAGAAAGGAAUCACAUUAAGACAGAGACUUUCCAAUAAGGAAAUCAAGAAAACACAUCAAGGUCAAAGUUUCAAAACACAAUUUCCUAUUAAAGUUACUUCUUUUAUUGUCCAAAUUGAAAAAUGAAAAAUACCCAAAUGACAAAAAGUCAUAAAAUUUAGAAACAAAACUUAAAAUCAACAAAAAAAAAUGUGAAAAAUAUAAAAAUCCUAAAUUUUAAUACCUUCCAAUGCUUCUUCUAACAACAGCUCCAUUCCCUUCACUUUGAGGUUUAGCUAAAACUUUCUUAAUCACCAAUCUUGGUCUAUCAAAACAAGAAUCAUAUUGAUUUGAUCCAGACAUAGUAAUAUUUCUAAUAGAAAAAAAAAUAGGCUUUCUUGAAAAAAAUUUAUUUCUAACAAAUGGGAAAAAAUUCACUAAAAAUAGUUCAGAAAUAGCUCUCAUAUAACAAUUCUUGAUUAUUAGUUUUGUGUGUAUCUUGUAAACUAUGUUUCCCUAUUUAUAUGAAAAUUUUUAGAAUAUUGAAAAUGGGGUUCAAAUUGAGGGAACUCUGUAAGUUGAAUAUUGAAAAAGACAGCUAAUUUUUUUAUUGUUAUUUUAAUUUAUUAUUUGGAUUUUAGUAUAUGGAUAUUAAUAUAUGAUGAUUCUAGGCUUGUGUCAUCAUGAUGAAUGCUUUUUUCCUUUGUGUGAAAAGCCCUUUUGAAAGUCAAAUGUAUUUGGGAGAAAAUUACUAAUUUAGGGAAAAAUGUCUUUAAAAGAAAAUUUUAGUAAGAAAUCAUUUUAAAGAAAAAAAAUUACUAUACAUUAUUUAACAUUUCUUCCAAAUAUGAGGUUGGCUUCAAAUUUUGAAGAAGGAUUUGUACGAAAAAAACUAAUUAAUUUUCAAUUAAACAUCAAGAAAGAAAAGUUUUUAAAAAAAUUCUAAAUAAAAAUGUAUGAACUUCAGCCAUAUGAAAAUUCAGACAUCAUAUAUGUAAAGUUAUCGUGAAAUGAUAAUUGAUAAACAUGAAAAAGGAUUUAUAAACUCAAAAUAUAAUUUUAAUAGGGAUGUUUAAAAUCGAGUAUAUGUACAUUUCCCCCUCCAAGCGAAGUAUACAUGCAUGUCUUUUGAGCUUAUCAAAGAAAGUCCAAAGUGGCGCUUACCAAAAUAUAUGUCUAGAUACAUUCUUGUGAAUUUCUACCAUUGUUAUAAUUAGGGGUGUACAUAGGUCGAUUUGGUUUGGUUUUCUGUUAAAAAAAAUCUAAACCAAUUAUGUCGGCUUAUUAAAUCUAAAAGUCAAAUCAAAACACAUGAAGUUGGUUUUUUCGAUUUCGGCUUUAGUCGGUUCUUUCGGAUUUUUUCAUUUUUUACGACUAUACGGUGCUUGAAAAAGAGAUCAAAGAUAUUUUCACUUACCCGUGUUAUAAGCUAAACCUAAAAAAUGUUAAAUGAAUAGAAAUUUCAAAAAGACGGUAAAAUUCACAUGAGUACAAAUUAUUAUUUUUGAAAUAUCAACGUUCAUUAUGUUAAAUUAAUAAGAUUAAAGGCUAUAGUCAAACUAAAUACAAAACAAAAUAUUUACAAAGUAAAUUGUUAACUUCGAAUUUGAAAAACUAUAACAAUAUAAUUGUAACUUCAGAUAUUAAUACAAAAUAAAUAUUUACAAAUUUUACAUGCCCAAAUUUGAAAUAAAAUAUAUAAACAUUGAAAACUAUAAACUANNUAUAUAUAUAUAUUUUGUCGAUUUGAUUUGGGUUUGAUUUGAUUUUUUUUCUUUUAAUAUCAAACCAAACCAAGAGUGGUCGGUUUUUUUUUCAACUGCCAAACCAACCAAACCAAAUCACACAUCAGUUUUUUUUUCGGUUUGAUUUGGUUCGUCGAUUCGGUUUGACUUUACGAUUUGAUUUGUACACCCCUAGUUAUAACUAUUAUUUAACUAAUAUAACUCUCACCUAUAUAUUAAUAUAAAAAUACUUAACAAAAAAAAUUAUCCUAGUUUACUGUUAUUUGAUUCUCAAUGUUCAAGUGCUUCAAAAGUUUAAAGUGCAUUAUCCAUUCAUCAUACCUUUUUGUGGGUAAAGUUUCUAGAAGCAAAUCCUUAGUUUUGCACUUUUCAUUUAUUAUACUCUAUAGUGCAUAGUGCAUUUGUAAGUUGAAUAAACUUUAUGUGCAUGGAUAUAGUGCAACACUUUGUGGAUUACAUAUAUUUGGGAUAGUGCUUUUUCUCCUUUCUAUUCUUUGUUGAUUGUAUAUUGGCAUUGUACCAAGCUUUAUUAGCUUAUUUGGCAAGACUAUAUGCAAUUUAUAAAAAGCUAUUCAAAGGCUUUAGUUUAUCAAUUUUGAAUUAUAAUUUUCCUAAAUAAUAUAAAGAAUUUGUGUCGAAUUAAUUUAUCGUAAUUCUAAUAGUAGCUUCACCCCUACUUUUGUAAAACAUCAUUUAAGUUAACAAUGUUAAUUUACCAUGAUUAAGUGAUGACCCGAAGUAAGAAGAGUUAGGUAAUGUUGAUUGGCUUAUCGUAAUUUGACCUUUUCGAUACAAGUACGAACUACGAGAAAAUGACAUUUAUCUUUUACCUUUUCAGUAUAAGUGCGGACCAUAAUCUUUAUUGCUUGUUUUGAAUAUAUUAAAUAAUUUUUUUAACACAAAUAUAAGGUUUGAGCCAAAAUAAUGAAUUAUAUCGACCUAUAAAUAAAACAAGAUUAGAUAAACUAAAGCUACAAUUGUUAGGUUUUUGGCAUGGAACAUAAGUUAACUACGGUCGAGUGCUAAUUUUAUAUAUAUAUAUAUAUAGUAAACAUGUAUCAUGUAUUUAUUAUUUAAUAUACACUUUCAUAUGUCUAAGUUAUCAAAUAUUGUCGUAAGAUAGCAACAACUUGAUUAAAAGUUUACCAACUAAUAUUUUAAAUAUCAUAUUCCACCGGUGCAUGUCUACAGUAAAUUAUGUAUAAGAAAAUUGAAUUGCAAUUAUGAAAUAAAUAUUAAUUUUUUUUUUAUUAAAAUAGAAAAAUAUAGAUAAGAAAAAUCAGGAAGCUAUGUAGUCUGCCAAACUACAAAAUCAGUUAUUGAGACAUGACUCUGUAAUGACAACAACAAUGACAGUAUCAUAUGACAUUAUGCUUACAAGUUAGUACAAUACAAUAUGCACACUCACUUUUAUUAUAUGAUAAAAAAUAAAAUAAUAAAAUAAAAAUUGCCCUACAAAGUGUUCAUUAGUUAUAUUAUGUUAAUUGAGAUUUAAAGGGGAAAAAAUGAUUAAUGAGAUAUAUUAUAUCCAUAAUCGAGGGACCAAAUAUAUGAACUAACCCUUUUUAAAAAUAAGUUAUUUAUGUUCUAAAACAAAUAAACACUUCAAAUCUAAUAAAAUCCUAACCAAACAAGCUAUAAUAUCCUUAAAAAGUUACAUACUAAAUAUUUCUAAGAAAUUAAUUUUUUUAUUUUUUUCAUUUGCCAUUAUCACGCAAAGCUUUAUUUAGUCGUAUUAUAUUCUAUAAUUUAAUUAUGGGAAGAAGACAUCUAGAAGAUUCAGGUAUAAGAUAUUUCCAUAUAAUACAUAAUUUUAAAAUAAUUUGUGUAUUACAACUCAAAUUUUAGUGACCCUUCUUAUUUAAUAAUACUGUUUCAAUUUGAAUAGAUAGUGAAAUAUAAUCUACUCCAUACUGUUCAACUAUUUUCAUCACAAUAUUAUUAUUAUUUUCAGAAUAAUCAAUUUCUCAGCAGUCGACAUUGUCUCAUUCAAUGAAUUUUUUUCAUAUUCAUUUACUUUAUUUCAUAUUAUAUUGUGUAUUAUUACAUAUGCAUAUUAUCAUACUAGGAUUAUUUGAAUUUUUAUUUAUUACUAUACUAUAAGAGAACUUAAUAUGAUAAUAAAAAAACUUUAUACAUUGAUUAUUAAUUAAACUCUUUAAAAAUAGUUUAUCAACAAAGGUGAGCCGGCCACAAUUCAUUGACCAUGAAAAUUAAGGAAUUAUUUAUUUUCAGUAUAAUUAUUUAAGUCCAACAAAAACUUAAAUUUCCACGAGAGAACAUUGUAAAUAUUUAACAAAAAAGAAGACAUAAAAUUGUUAGGCAAAAUAUUGUUGUAGGUAAGUUUUAAAGGUAAAAAUCAAUGUGAUCGAACUCUUUAGCAAUGUCGAUAAAUAUGUGUCAAGUGGUACUGUUAAGGAACUGACACAAAUAUAUUCAUAAUAUUUUUAAAGAGUCUGAAACAAAGCACAACAUAUAGGAAAAAUAGAUACUUAUAAUAUUUUUAGAGAUUUGUUAUAAUAGUUAGUUAUCUUAAGUUCUUAACAACCAUAAUUUGAACGUGUAUUAAACUUAAUAAAUUGAGUGCUUAAAUAAAUAAAUGAUAUAAUGGAAAGCUGAAAAAUUAAAUUAAUUUCAGAUUUCAUUCUGGAACAAGCCUUUUGACUUUGUAUUAUCUAGUCAAAAAUUUGAAUAUUUCUUCAAUAUUUUCCGCUAAUAAUUUUAUUUGAGUUGUACAAGGAAUGUUUAAAAAGUCUUUAUUCUUUUUGUAAUUCUACUAAUAAUAAUGACAAUUCACAUCUUUUCUUUUCACGGUCACUAAUUGUAAGUUAACAUGUAACAAACACUUCAUUCUAAUUAAACAAUAUCAAGACAAGUUAAUUAACAAUAAGAUUUUUCCAUUAAAAUGUAAAAAACAUCUAGUUAGAUAAUAUUUUCUUUUAUAUAAUUUUAUGUAGCACGAAUUUAAAUUAAUCAAAGCUUCAAUAUGAAUAUCAAAAAACAAAGUCAACUAAACAAAUUUUAAGACAUAAAUUAUCAUGAGUUGACUUCCUUGUGUCCUCACUUUGUUGGUACCAUGGGAGGAUUCCACAUAAUGUUUAGUGCAUUUUUAAAAUUAUAUCUUCCAUUUUAAAAGUAUAUUCCAUUUGGAUCUUAGUGGUUUGAGUAUGGUAUCCCACUAGGAGUAUAAUAAAUACGUUUUUUUUAGAAUAUCUAGGAUUAAGUGUAUUGCUAAAUUUUAUUUUAUUUUUAACUAUUCAAUAAUUUUAUUGGUUUAUAUUCAUAUUGUAAAUGUCUAAUUAAAGAACAUAUUUAUUUUUCAGAAUGUGAAUCAAAACUAGUGAUUACAAAUAUAAUAGAGCUAAAGAGAGUCAAAUGAGUUCAAUUGAAUCCUUUUCAAAGGAAAAUUGUAUUGCGAAAUUAUGGAAAAAAUAAUUUAAUUUACUCAUACAUUUUCUUGAAUUCUUGAUAAAAAAGAAACAAAUUUUAGUUUAAUGAUAAAUAAGAUUAAAAAUUUGUAUAUCACAUUUGAAACCCUAUGUAUAAUAUGUGAGAUUUUGGUAUCUUUUUGAAUUUUUCUUUUAUAAAUUUAGCACUCUUCCACAAUUAAGGACAUAUAUUAGAUAUUUUCAAAAAAAAAUGUGCGCUUUUUGACUUAAAAAAUAUGUGUUUUUUUGUGGAAAUUCAAAUAAUAUGUAAAACACAUGAAAGAAAUGUGAUAUGCAUGUCUCAUAAGUUUAUUAAGGUAAAAGAUUGUCUAACAUAUCAUUAGUUCAAAUUUAGCGCAAAGAAAAUGCUUUUGCCACUUGAACAGUAGACGGGAGACAUGCACAUGUGGUUCUUUGAGGUUAGGGGAGAGUCUUUGAGUUAGAUUACUAACUAUAAACAAGUCAUUCUUAUUAUCACUUUCUAAUGUGAUAUCUGAUAAAAAAAAUGCAGUUUUGAACUGAAAGGUGGAAGUGGUUCCUCCUCAACUUCUGACUCUAAUCUUGAGAAUUCACUACAACUUUACAUUCGGCAAGAAAGAUCGAUAAGCAUUAGCAUAAAUUGAAUUUUGGAUUGACUCUUAUUUAUUCUUUGAAAAAAUUCAUAGAGAAUCAAAAUUCACUUAGGUGAAUCCUACUAGUCAAAUGCCUCUUUUUCCUCCACAAGAGUUCGCUCCCAAAAAAAAAGACUUGAAAAAAACUAAAUAGAAAAUUUGAACCUCUACUCUAUUUUAGAAACGAAAAUCACAUUUACUAAAAUCAUAUUUUGAAAAACACCUAAAAAUCAAACUUAUGUGUAAUUACAUAAUUAAUAUGUAUAUAUUUAGCUAAGUAAUUACUGGAUCAAUAUGAUAUGUUGAAUACAAUUGAGAGGGUGCAAUAUAAUUACACUAUCUUAAUUUGAAUGGAAAGGUGAAAAUUACAUUGUGUAAUCAAAUACUUUAGUAACUAUUUAUAUUGCACCUUUAUUUUCUGUUUGUCAAAUAUAUAUUAGUCUUUUAAUAUUAUUUUUGUUUUCCUGUCUCUUAUUUUCAUCUUCUAGUCUUUUAUUUUUCGUAAUUAUUACACACAAUUACAUUUUUAUUAACUUUAUUUUUAACUCAUCAGUAUAAAAGUUUAUAAUGAAAUAAAUUCAUAUUUAUCUUUUUUUUAAAAAAAAAAAAAGCGACAAAUCAUAAAUUUCACACUAUAUUAAUAUGAGUUGGAAUUUUUACCAAUUCAUAAUUAAAUUUUUUAAUUAAUUAAUUUAAUUUAAGAUUUAUUAAUCAUUAAAAGUUUGUUUACUUCUUCAUCGGAAAGAAAAUUCCUUUCUUCCUUCAUUCCCCUGAAAGAAAGAAAGAAAAAAUUCAAUGCAGAAAUAGGCGAAGAAAAUAUAGCGCAAGAAUUGGGGAAAAUAUUGAGGAAGAAAAAGGGGGGAAUCAACAUUGAAUAAAUAAUUAUGGCAUUUUCAUGGCGUUUUAUUGGACUAUCUAUUUUUGUUUUUCUUCUAAAUGUAUCAUCAAUAGCACAUUCUGCUCCUAUCAAGGCACAUAGCUCUUGCAGCAAUGAAAUCAAUAUGGUAAAUGUAUUCAACCCUUUUCUUAUAUAGAGAAAAUAAAUUGUGGGGUUUGUUUUUUGGGUGGAAAUUGUGUUAAAAAUGUAAUCUUUUAUGGAUUUUGUAGAUUUUCUUAUUUGAUAUUGUCAUUUCUUGAUUAUGUGGAAAGUUAUGAUGGGGUUAUGGAUUUUUUUGUUUUGAGGGGUUUCAAUAGUUAAGAAUCUUUGUUUGGUAUGGACAUGUUAGUGGGAGGUGGUACGUAUCUGGUGAAAUUAGUUGAGCUGGCCUAGACACUACGAUUAUCAUUAAAAACCAAUCUUUUUUGGUAAUGUUAAUAAGAUGAUUUGAAAUGGUGAGGAUUGGUUCAUGCAUUUGGUGGAAUUUGUUAUGAAAUGGAGUUAUUUGAUAUAUUAUGUUUUGAUUCUGUGCCGGGGUGGCAGAGUUACUCGGUGGAAUAGUUGAGGUGUGGGCAAGUUAGCUCGGACACCACUCCAUAAAAAAGUUUAAUUUGAGGUUCUGGUGUGUGGUGUGUGUGUGUGUGUGUUAUAAGAUUACUAUACAAGGAUUUAUUUAGCAUUUAUUAUACUCCCUCCGUUCACUUUUACUUGUCGAUUUUGGACUUUGCAUGCCCCUUAAGAAACAAUGAUUGAAAUGAGUAUUUUAACACAAUAUCCAUGUUAGUUGAUGUUUAGUCUUAACUGGACUUGAAGUAUUCUCUAUUUUCAUUCUGUUCUGCACAUAUAGAAACUUACCGGUGCUAAUCAUUCUUUUCCUUUCUUUUGUUAAAGAUGCUGGUGAAGUUGUGGGUUAAUGGUGGUGAGGAAGAUUCAAUAGUUGGCUUGAGUGCGGCAUUUGGGUCUGUAUUACCCACUGAUACUAAACGUGCCUCCAGGUUGCGUGCUGUUUAUACACAACCUUUGAAUGGCUGUUCUGCUUCCUCCACUAAGGUAUUUACUCCACAUUCCUUACACACCUUUACUUUUAGGUGGAUAUCCGAAACGAAACUGUGUUGCUGCUUGAUUAAAUAAUAGUGAUAAUUCUUUCGCGGCCCAAUUUCGGUUCUUUUGAUCUUUCUUGAUGAUCUUCCAUCUCUCAUUUGUUAACUUGCGAAUAUUUGAGAACAAUAGAAUUCAUACUUCUUUAUGAGCCAAGUCCUGCUUUAAGAGUGAAGAAUUGAUGCAAAUCUCAGCAAGGUUGAAAAGAUUUAAGGAGCUGAAUUGUGAACCAAUCUCAUUUAUAUCAAGGAGAAGUGAAGAAACAAUUUUUUUUUUUAAUAUAGUUUAGGUGAAAACAUCUACAUGUUAAGCCAUUGACCAUCUCUGUCUUCUAUCAGGAAGUUAAAGUAAUUCAAACUUCUUAACUCUGCAUAGAACAACUUAUUUUCAGCAUAUAAGAAAACUUAAGAGUAAGUUUCACUCGUGAAAAUGGAAAGAUACUUUUUUCUGGUGGAUCGCAGUGGAGGAUUGAAAUAGGAGAAAAGAGUAGAAAUGGAGAUGGGUUGAGGAUGAUCACUACAAAAAAACACUUGAAUUGCAGGGGUUAAAAUUACAUAUUGCGGGGGUCAGUAACCCCCGCAACUAAGUAAUACGGCAGUUGAAAAAACUCCUACAAUUAGAUGUGCCACAAUUAAGUCACGGGGUUUUUCUCCAACCCCUCGUACCAUUAGCAGGAGUUUACUACUGGGGGUUUUGAACCCCUACAUUUUAAAUUCUAGGAUUCAAAACCCCAACAAUUUGUGAAUUCUAGGAGUCAAAACCCCCCACAAUUCAUGAACUUUACAUUAAAAUCAACAAGAGUUUUGACUCCUGCAAUUUAUGAAAUGUAUCUUUUUAUAGAAUUUUGCUAAAAAUAUUCAAUUUUAAAUAUUAAUAAUUAAUUAACUAACAUGUACAUCAUAGUAAAACCUAAAAGGGCAUAUUAAUAUAAGAAAUAACACAAUAUUUCAAUACAAAAAUAUAUCAAAGUGUACUAUAGUUUUACAAACUAAAUUGAAAUGUCAUUCACUUCAACCAUUACGAUUACAAGAAACUUCAAAUCUUGCUUGAACUUCAAAUCACUACAAAAACUUGCUUAAACUUCAAAUCACUAGCAUCCAAACUCAAGAUAGGAUCUGCAACAGUUCAUGAAACUCAGCGGAUUUCACUACGAUAUCACCUGGCUGCAAAGAGAAAUACACAAUAAGCGACUUCAUCCAAACUCAAAACAUGGAUGAAUAUAGCAUACUUGAUGAAUUUAGUACUACCAGCCAGUUAAGUUAUAUGGUGGAAUAAGACAUGUUAGUUGACAAGAAUAUAUUACAACAAUAACAACAUAAUACACAGUGAAAUUUCACAAGCGGGUUUGGGAAAGGUAGAAUAUACGCACAAGUAAUGACUUAUCCCCAGUUACGCUUGUCAGGGAGCAAAAGGAAAACAAUUACUAUUGUUUAUGUCCAGCCAAAUAAUACAACUUACAGAGUUAAGAGCCUGCUCAAGAAAUACAUCAGUAGCUACCUUUUUGUGUAACUCAAACCAAUUGGGUCUGCGAUGGCCACAAGCCACUACUCCCCUGUACUAAUUUUACUUUUUAAUGAAAUGCUUCAUAUUUCCUUACCAAAAAAAAAGUAACAACAAAUGGGUCCUAGUUAGAUAAAGUCUAAAGAUUAAUUCAUUGGGAAAAGAAAUUAAUUAGUAAUAUCUAUAUGGCUAGAUCUCACAUUAGUUGUACACUGAAAUGUACCUCUAAUCCUUAAUUCUUUGAAGUAUCAAAGUUCCAGAGAAAAAGAUUUUACUUACCAAUGCCAACCACCUUGCUAUGCCUAUAUAACAUAAUUAUAGGUGCAGUAAGUUCUCAAGACAAUGUAAAAUAUUCAUUAAACAACACCAACAACUAUAUAAAAGCUAUAACUUGAAAUGUAAAAGUCCAACUAGUGAAUUAGAAAAUACCAGUUACUAUUCAGAUGAUCAAUUAUAAUUUUUUGAAAAGGCACAAUUACUAAAAAUAAUGUGACCUCUCAAAACUGAACAUGAGUCUAAUGAUGCUUAGGAUUGGGUCUGUUGGGAGAAAUUGAAUUUUGCUUGCAAAAAGAGUCCACUGGCCAUCCAAGAUGUAAUCUUGGCAAUAAUCUUGUCCACUAAGGGUUUAAUUGGACUAUUGUAAGCCUUUUAGGUGUCGUUUAAUACAAAGAUUAAUAAUGUAGGGAUUAGUAAUGCAAGGUUCCUUAGUAAAAUUGUUUGGCACACCUAGAUAUUUGAAACAGAGUUCUCCAACCUCAUAUCCAAGCAUAGUCAAGAUGGUUUCCUUAGUAAAUUUGUUAAUACCUUCAAAACAUACCUGACUUUUCAAAAUGAUGGUCUUCAAAUCAGAAGCAUCAGAAAACAUAUUGAAUUUACCCCUCGAUAGUUGUAGUUGUAUAGAUCUGACAUCUCAUCUAGUAAAUAUAGUAAGUCAACAGCAACAAAGUACUGAUUCAAAACUGAUGUCAACAUCUAGAUGGAAAAAAAUGUUUCAUCAAACUUUCUUAGUUGUAAAUCAGCACAACUACAAAGAAAAAAGACAUUCUUGCAACUCUUCCAAAUCUGUUUGGGUUAAAGGAAUUUUGCAUUUAACUAUCAUUCCAUCUUCACUAACUAUCUAAAGGACAAAAUCAAAUAAAAAAAUACAAUAAACUCACAAGAUUUGUAGAGCGUCGCAGAACUUGAGCGAGUUGUGCAUGACUGCUUAUAAGAGCUUUUAUCUUCUUCAACAAUGCAGCCACAAAUAUUGACACUAUAGCACGAAAAAAUAGUGCAAACUGUCUUAAAGAAAGAUCUCAUCAGAAAAAUGAGAACCAAAUUUAAAAAGAAUAGCUGAAAAGUAGAUGAAACUUACGGAAAUAGCUGGGAAUAUAGACGAAAUCAGGUUCAGUAAUGUGGGAGGAGAUAGUGGUGGGAGUGACGUCUUUGGGAUCGGUGGCAAAAGGGAUGGUUGGGUUUGGGGACAAUUCCAGUUGUUGGGGAUGAUCGUAACAUGUAUACUCAAUAUACUCGAUAUGGUUAGUCAAUCGAUAAAGUGAAACAACCUUAUGGUGCUACUUCUAAUCCUACACAGGCUGAUGACGCGACAAGAAAGAACAGUUCAUCAUCAAACAAGUUGAAAACACCACAUUUCUCCAAUAUCACCACCUUAUAACAUAGAAACAAAUAUCAUAUCUCUCAAAUUUACCAGAUUCACUUACAACUAACAAAAAUCAAUUAAGAAGUUAAUCUAUCCAACCAAAAAAUCAAUUACUAGCAAGUUAUUCUCUAUGUAAACCUUAUUUAAUUAGAUUAUCCAUAUUGAAACCCUAAAGAAUCGAAGUUUAGGGGAAAUCCAAAAAGUACAAUAGUUAUAAACCUUAGAAAGAGCUGAAGCUUCUCCAUGGUGCAGGACGUAGGGCAACGAGCCUAUUGGAGCAUUCUUUUACUCCAAAAUCGGCGAAGAUAUUGCAGAUUUUCUGAAACUAAAAUAGAUUCAAAAUACAAAUCUCAAAACUUUUUACAAACAAUUUGAAGUUGAGAAAAAAAAAAUCAGUUGAUUUAUAGAUUGAAAAUGCAUGAAAAUGAGGAAAAGAGAACUCAUUUUUGAAGCUUUCGAUGUCUAAAUUAAGGAGCAAUUGUUAAAUAGAGAGAAAUUGGGAAGUAAGAGAGGAGAAGAGAAGUAUGAACCAACGAUACCGCCAAUCGCCACCGCCGCCUCCAUCUUUUCCUACUCCGACCACUGUUAUUGUGGAUGAAGACAGUGAUAGCUCCGCCACCAUGGAUUCGCCACCGUGCCGCCUCCAUCACUUCCUACUCCAACCCUAAUUAUCAUAUGAAAAUUGAUCAGUUCGGGAUCGCAGAAAAUAGAAUGAAACUUUUUUUUAUUUGGGGAUUAAAUGAGCAACGAUAUAAAAUUUUAUUUUUUAGGAUAGCGGCGGGUAAUAACCCCACAAAUUCUACUAAAAUUAUAGGGGUUAAUCAAACCUCCGUAAUUUGAUGUAAUUUGUGGGGGUUGAGUUAACCUCCAUUAUAAAACCUCUAGGAUUUAAGUGUUUUUUUGUAGUGGAU